Molecule: ribosomal RNA, 451 nt
Filed under: uncultured bacterium
Lineage: Bacteria
Description: bacterial SSU rRNA
Rfam family: Bacterial small subunit ribosomal RNA
Source: RNAcentral
AGCGAACGCUGGCGGCAGGCUUAACACAUGCAAGUCGAACGGGCGUAGCAAUACGUCAGUGGCAGACGGGUGAGUAACGCGUGGGAACAUACCUCUUGGUUCGGAACAACACAGGGAAACUUGUGCUAAUACCGGAUAAGCCCUUACGGGGAAAGAUUUAUCGCCGAGAGAUUGGCCCGCGUCUGAUUAGCUAGUUGGUGGGGUAAAGGCCUACCAAGGCGACGAUCAGUAGCNGGUCUGAGAGGAUGAUCAGCCACAUUGGACUGAGACACGGCCCAAACUCCUACGGGAGGCAGCAGUGGGGAAUAUUGGACAAUGGGCGCAAGCCUGAUCCAGCCAUGCCGCGUGAGUGAUGAAGGCCCUAGGGUUGUAAAGCUCUUUUGUACGGGAAGAUAAUGACGGUACCGUAAGAAUAAGCCCCGGCUAACUUCGUGCCAGCCGCCGCUGUAAA